UGGUCAUUUAGAGGAAGUAAAAGUCGUAACAAGGUUUCCGUAGGUGAACCUGCGGAAGGAUCAUUAGACAAGCCGGGUGACGCCAGUGGGGCGGCCACCCAGAGCACCAAACCACAGCUGCGUACAAUGCCAUGUUGCUUCCCCGGGCCAGCGGCCGUCGCCGCCCGUCGGCGAGACACAGGCGUGGAUCGCCGCGCGGAGGCGCCCGGGGGUGGGGCUCCCGCCCCUCAAAACUAAAACGUCGGGAGCAUUGGACUGUCUGACCUGGGCCACAUUGGGCCGCCGAAAACUUGACAAGUUAAAACUUUCAACAACGGAUCUCUUGGCUCUCGCAUCGAUGAAGAACGCAGCGAAAUGCGAUAGGUAAUGUGAAUUGCAGAACUCAGUGAAUCAUCGAAUCUUUGAACGCACAUUGCGCCCUGGGGCAUUCCUCAGGGCAUGCCUGUCCGAGCGUCAGUGCAAACCACCUCACGGAAACACGUGGUGCUGGCGGAGGUGUGGUGUCUGAUCGGGCCGCGAUGGCGGCCCGGUCCUCCCCACCCCGCCGAAAUGUAUGGGGAGCAACACGCAUUGGCGGACCCGACUUGGUAGACGCUGUGGUUAGCGUGGAGCAGUCGCGGGGCCAUUGCUGUCCCUCCCGCCUCGAGCCCGUGGCGGCAUCUCCGGGGCAUCUCGUCAGGUUUGACCUCGGAUCAGGUAGGGGUACCCGCUGAACUUAAGCAUAUCAAUAAGCGGAGGAAAGAAACCAACAGGGAUUGCCUCAGUAACGGCGAGUGAAGCGGCAGAGCUCAAAUUUGAAAUCUGGCGCCCCGCAGGCGUCCGAGUUGUAAUUUGGAGAGGCAUCUUCAGGAGGGGGCCCGGCCUAUGUUCCUUGGAACAGGGCGUCGCAGAGGGUGAGAAUCCCGUUCUUGGCCGGACAGCCCCUCCGGUGUGCAGUGUCUUCUACGAGUCGAGUUGUUUGGGAAUGCAGCUCAAAAUGGGUGGUAAAUUUCAUCCUAAAGCUAAAUAUGGGCGAGAGACCGAUAGCGCACAAGUAGAGUGAUCGAAAGAUGAAAAGCACUUUGAAAAUAGAGUCAAACAGCACGUGAAAUUGUUGAAAGGGAAGCGCUUGAGACCAGACUCGGCCAUGGACUAAACAGCUGUCCCUUCUGGGCGGUGCACUUGUCCUUGGCCGGGCCAGCAUCGGUUGGGAACGGCGGGACAAAGGCUGGGGGAAUGUGACUCCCUUGAGGAGUGUUAUAGCCCCCGGCGCCAUGCCGCCCGCCCCGACCGAGGACCGCGACUUCGGCUAGGAUGCUGGCGUAAUGGUCUUCAGACGGCCCGUCUUGAAACACGGAACCACGU
RNAcentral lists this ribosomal RNA (1344 nucleotides) under uncultured Tuberaceae. RNAcentral's name for it is "eukaryotic LSU rRNA". The stretch from base 683 to 1344 matches the Rfam family "Eukaryotic large subunit ribosomal RNA", at positions 1 to 672 of the family's 3401-position model. Lineage: Eukaryota; Fungi; Ascomycota; Pezizomycetes; Pezizales; Tuberaceae. The record is from RNAcentral.